Molecule: ribosomal RNA, 556 nt
Filed under: uncultured bacterium
Lineage: Bacteria
Description: partial 16S ribosomal RNA
Rfam family: Bacterial small subunit ribosomal RNA
Source: RNAcentral
UGGGGAAUAUUGGACAAUGGGCGCAAGCCUGAUCCAGCCAUGCCGCGUGAGUGAUGAAGGCCUUAGGGUUGUAAAGCUCUUUCGCCGGUGAAGAUAAUGACGGUAACCGGAGAAGAAGCCCCGGCUAACUUCGUGCCAGCAGCCGCGGUAAUACGAAGGGGGCUAGCGUUGCUCGGAAUCACUGGGCGUAAAGCGCACGUAGGCGGAUCGUUAAGUCAGGGGUGAAAUCCUGGAGCUCAACUCCAGAACUGCCCUUGAUACUGGCGAUCUCGAGUUCGAGAGAGGUUGGUGGAACUCCGAGUGUAGAGGUGAAAUUCGUAGAUAUUCGGAAGAACACCAGUGGCGAAGGCGGCCAACUGGCUCGAUACUGACGCUGAGGUGCGAAAGCGUGGGGAGCAAAACAGGAUUAGAUACCCUGGUAGUCCACGCCGUAAAACGAUGGAUGCUAGCCGUUGGGGGGUUUACCUCUCAGUGGCGCAGCUAACGCCUUAAGCAUCCCGCCUGGGGAGUACGGUCGCAAGAUUAAAACUCAAAUGAAUUGACGGGGUCAUAGCUG